This 3781-nucleotide ribosomal RNA is filed under the name Triticum aestivum (bread wheat). Its description in RNAcentral is "partial small subunit ribosomal RNA". The record is from RNAcentral. Lineage: Eukaryota; Viridiplantae; Streptophyta; Magnoliopsida; Poales; Poaceae.
GGCUGCGCUCUGCGCGUGAGACGAAAGCGUGGCUCGUCGUCGGCGUAGGCAGGUGUUGGGCCGCAGCUGUGCUGUGCUACCGCAUGAGGCCGCUAGCGGCCGGGAGGGGCGGCGGCGGGGGCGUCGGCGUGCGCUGGGAGAGGAUGGAGAGGGGCAGGCGCCGCGGGAAGUGGCAGCCAGCAUGGGCGCCCCGGCGCUGGGGGCUAGGCCAGGGGUUGCGGGGGCGAUUGGGAUCGGGGAUGGGGCUGGAGGGGUGGCGCGGCAGCGACAUGCUGAGGACCCAGCUCGGAGGGCGCUCGAUGUACCUAGACCUCCGGCCGCGUCGCCGGCCCAUGGCUCCAAAACGAUUAAGACUACCCAAAGACCAAAGACUCUUAUGUGUGUUACCGAAUAUGUGACCCUUAGUAAAACCAUGGUGGCACGUCGUCGGUGUAGGGAAGUGUUGUACGUCGAGGCUCACCUACCUUCUCUUCAUAGGACCUUAAAUGGUUUCUUGCAGUUUCCGGGAGGGUUCACUAAAACCCAGUAGUCAAUAGGUAGUCGGAAGACCCAGAGGAUUGUACAAACGAACGAAUCUAUUUUUUGGGACAAGGUGUGGAGUCGGGCACUUAGUCGUAAGGGGCAUAAGACGAAUACUAUUGAUGUGCCGUGUAGAAGGUAGUAGGAGUUGUAUAGGUAACCUAAUGUUGGACAGGUACGGUGGACAAAGACGGAGUGGACUUCAUACGCGAUGUUGUUUUAGUAACAGUGGGUGUUGUCUACCGGUAUAUAACCUUUCACGUAAAAGGAGUGGUAUAUAUUUGGGAACGUCUAAUUUAGAACUAAUAAAACUGAGGUACGUCUUACUUGUCUUUCUGGAGAAACCUGUAGUCUGACGAAUAUUUGUAAUACCACUGACCUCAUUGAGACUGUUACCAUGCUCUUAUUACCCUUCGAUAGGUGAAUCAUCUGCACCUCAACCUCUCUUGAUAGGAAACCCACUCUCAAGUCUUUGACCCUCCGGACACGUCGGUCCUUGGAUAGGUGAAUUGUCUGUACCUCAACCUCUCUUGAUAGAAAGUCCACUGUGAAGACUUAGACCCUCUGGACACGUCGGAAGUAGUCUUCACUUCAGACCAAAGUUCUCGAAUGUUCGUAGUACAAGGUUAUAGAGAGGAAGUCUUGUACGUAAAAGAGUCGGAGCACUGGAAAAGUAACUCGGUGAACUUCAUUUAUUAGGACAACAACUAAGAGGAACAACCUUUCCCUGUGGUUGACAUGAGUUCAGUAGUAAACCACACUUUUUACUACUUCGAGGAAAAAGACGAUUACCGAGUCCACUGGAGGUACUAAACGUGGUUUCGUUCUUCGAAAGACUCAAACCAUGUUCAUUAAGACACAAUAAAGGGUUCACAGUACUGUGUAGUUUAGUGCUCUCACUAAGCACAGAUGGAAUGAUGCAUUUAACAGAAAGAAGUAAGUCAGACGGAAGUCCCACAUUUUUUAGACUUCCAGUAUCACUACGUGUUGGUAGGUAACAACCACUAAAGCUACCAUACCGAUCCAGAUCGGUGGGAUCAAUACAUAGACAUCUAGUUCCGUGGUCUUCUCUUUUGGUACACUAGACAUUCUGUCCUCUGUUAAGGCUUUUACCUCAUUGUGGUCCAGUUGUCCCUCCACAAAAAGAACCGUUUUCUUGUAAACUUGGGUAUCACAAUCCGUCUCUGAAGCGGUCAGUACAACACCCGUACUUACUUCUAAGACCAUUCUUUCAAAGUUCGUUACAACUACGUCGAGGUUAACGUUUCCAAUCCUCAAAUUGUUUUCUUUCAGAUGUUCCUUUAUGAACACAGGUAUUUCGACACCGUUGUAACCUUCCAGACAUGAGCCUCUACGGACACUUCUUUCCAGACCUCGUAAAUAGGGUAACGUCACGACCACAACUCCUCAACCACUUCUAUAGAAGUCUAUUUCAAUGGGCGUCUAGGUUCUGAGUUCUUCUGAAUUAGUUCAGUUAAAUAUUAUAGAGUCAUCACGAAGAUAGAUGAACGCUACCACCAAUACUCAACCUCCUUAGACUUGUACGUGAACAAGUUAGAUGUUAUGUGUUAGAGUCAAGAAACUCAAGGUUCUAUUCGUUCCGACGUAAUUUUUUACUACUACAGUUACCUUUGACGACGGUUUGUUUAUGUUCCACGGUACCUUUCUUAGUAGUCGGACUCUUCAAACUACCUGAACUGACCCUCUUGUAACCACGUCUAAAAUCUCGAAAAUAAAACCUCCUAGAAUGAUUUGAAGGUCUUCUCUUACAGUAACCACUAUGAUUUCUACGUGUUUACGACUAUAUAUUCUUAGAUACCUAACUUCGACUUCGAAGGUACACAUUUGAGUUCAUACUUGACGUUGAACGGGCGUACUUUGAACGCUGUUUUGUAACGUUAGUCGUUUGUCGACGUCGUGGACGGCUAAGUAAUCCUCUUCGGUUUCGGAGAUUGGACGGGUUUGUGUUCUUGAGACAUACAAAACUUCCCUAACGACCAAGAUCGUUUGUUGUUUUGGUACACUUUCUCGCGUUAUAGCCGUUACGUCGGAACGAUGGAGUCCCUCCACUAUUCCAACUACGACUACAGAAACGAGCUGACUUUCAAGACUUCGAGGCACUACUCUCAUAUUUAACGAGGGCAGUCCAGUUACGACUCGACGUCUUCCCUUGUUCAUUAAUAUUGUCCUGUCUACAACAACUACUGUGACAAAAACUAUUACGACAACUGCUAUCCUAUUGAAGAAAUCACCUCCUGUAGUAGUUUCUCGCAAGUCUUCGUUCGUCGUCACUUCCACCACUUCGACUACCACGAUGGUAACGACGUGAAUUGCUAAAGUGUUCGACAUUGUUGUUAUGUUCGGGUAACCUACUCCUGUGGUUGUAUCUCGUCAAUCUUAGAUCACUUUCGUUUUAGGUACCGCGAAAAUACCGAUUCGAGUUUCUAAACUACAAGACAUCACUACUACAUUCAAGUAGUUUGCUCCCGUUACGAGUAGUCGAGGUUUGUCGUUCGUUCUUACUUAAGCCAGUCGAACUUCUGCACCAAUACCGGUCCGACGUUCAGGACUUUUCCGCACUUCCAUUGUUAUCGUCGCGACACUUGCUACCUGUUCUCCGAAAGGUAAGACUACUAACCCGCCCAGUGAAACUUUGUUUUGUAAAGCCAGCUCCCCGCGUACUACUCGAUCAGGUCUUUUGACUAAACGGACUGCUACGACCCAGGUCCCGGGUUAGACUACUUCACCUAUCGUUUUGACGGUCGGUCAUGCAGUCACGUAACGAACUUCUCAGAGGAUAACAGAGUCGUGGUCGCCUUGGACGUUCACGCGUUUACGUACUGCUCGUCGAUUCGUUGAGUGGGGGCCUUACCCUCGUACACGACUUCCUCCUGAAGAAGGAGGGUCCUUUGGUAAACUUCACUUUCCGUAGACCGGCGGAACUAAGCGUUUGGAACACACACAACAUAUAUAUACAAAAUUGAAUCGUCAUACGCUCGGCCUCUAACACUGUAUUUAACGUCAUAGUUGGCAGCAUCAUGCACUACCGAUUUUGACUUCGAAAUAAUACUCAUCUUUUAUUAGAGUUGAGUACCGAGUAUGACUCGAAAGACAUUUAUACGCGACACGCACGCAGGAUAGAGCAACAUACGAAACUUUCCAGGCAGUACGUGUAAUGAACUCUGGAUAUAUAUAAUAACAUUGUACAUUAUGUACAUAUACACGAUACUCAUGUAUGACAAGGAAAACUAAUACAAAGGCC